UUUCUCUUAUAUUAUAUGGUAUUUUUUGAACCAGGAUUUUAUUAAAUGCGUUACUGUCACUAAUUCUUCUUCAAUGCUAGUAGGUAUCACGACAUAAGAUUCCUCAAAGGUGUACAGCCUGACUUAGCUAAAUAUUUUACUUCUCAAGUAUGUAUCGUUCCAGGUUGUGAAAGGAAACAUAAAUACUGUGUUCUUCAUGUCUGUAUUUUAAUUGCUUCCUAUUCCCUUAAGUCUAGAGAUUUACUAGUCUAAGUAAUAAUUAUUGCCCCAUAUCCUCAUAAUUUGAAUUUCUUCCUGAAGUCUUUUUUAAAGAACUUCUUUCUCAUUCUGAAAGUAACAUUAUUGUGUGAAAAUACAGAUGUUAAAAGAAAAUGAAAAUCAUUUGUAGCCCCUCUACCUUAUUGCUUGUGUGUUUGUUUGCUAUGUCUCAUUGCAGUCUUUCUGUUGUACAGUUAUAGAUUUUGUUUUUCACACACAAAAAGAACUUUACUGCAAUGCUGUUUCAUAACCUGCUUUUUCCUCUUAACACAUCAGACACAGUUUUCCAUCCAAUAAUCUCUUGAUCCAAGUGACAUCACUCAUUCAGUUAGUGUGUUAUAUACUUAUGUAUAUGCUCUCCAGAGUGUUUUGUAAACACCAAACUGUCAAGAAGGUGAAAGUUUCUUCUUCUUGUGGAAUUAUCUGACAACAAUUGUGUUUGGUGUUGAAAGAGUUUUGGUAUCCUGGGACCCAGCGAGUCCAGGUGAGAAUGUGUUGAUUGAUGUGAUUCUCCCAGUUCUCGCCCAUGCCCUCCCCUCAUUUUGCUCCUAGCACCCCUGUCUGACUAAAAGGAAAAGAAUCGAUCCUCCCUUUUGACUUUCACGUACAUUUAAGUUGCCAGCCAUGAAUCCCAAAUGCAGAGAUCUGCAAUUUUCUUGGAUCUUUGUGAAACAAGCUACUUCUGGAAAGCAGUCAAACAGUGACGUUUGUUUCCCAAAGUGGCACUGUUGUUUUAACUUCACUUAUAAGCAUGCCAUGCCUAUCAAUUAGAAGUGCUGUCUCCAUUCAUAAAAUGUAUGAACUGAUGAUACAAUGGUUAGUUAACUAGAAAAUAUGCAAUCACGGUAUAAAACAGGUUUAAAGUUUUAAAUUAAGUUAGGAUUUGGAAUGGGACUAGGAUUUUUCUAAUAAAAUGUCUGUGUUGGGGGGCAGGGUGCUUAUUACCGUAGUUCCACAGCAGCAUGAUUAUUUUAAGGAAUAUUCCUUUCUAGUUAACCUAACAGAAACUAUUCUGUAUUUUUAGUAUGGUAUUAUUGUUUGUAUACUGGAACAUGGAAUCCAAUGAGAGAUACCAAUUCCCUGAUUUAAUUUUUUGCCUAGGAUAAGGGAGGUAAGAGUUAUAAAACUUGACUUCAUCCAGGAGGUGGAAAAAAAAAAAACCAAAAAACCUCUCUAAAGAUCAACUAUGAUUUACUUACCAGGCCCCGUCAAUGUUUGAGUAUCUUAAAGGCUAUUAAGCGUGACAAUACGUGUUUGAAAAGUUUGUCAUCUUCAUCCUUUGACAGAGCUAAAUCCACAAAUCAUUAGGUCCAAAACUAAACUUGAGAUGAAAGGUCGUUGUUUUUUUCCACCAAGCUAUCUAACCUCUAGUUUAAGCACAAGUAUAAAACCAUCUGCUCACCAGGAGGCCGAGAAGCUCAAAAUCCAUUAACGCCAUAUGUAUCCACAGAAGUGUGACUUCAGUGCUUCAAAUGUUUUCAAUUUUUUUUCCUUCGUUAUUAUCUGCCAGAAACUUAGCUGGAAUGCUUUCCCUUUCUUUAAAAUGCAUUGAAUUUCAGUUUAACUAUGCAAGGCCUUUUCUGAUUAAGUAAUUACAUACAUUUUCUUAUUUGUGUGUCUAUAUUUCGGAAUGACUGCUUCAUUUUGUUAAAAAUUAACCAUAAAGGGGAAAUAAGAUUUUAUUUUUAAUUUCCCUUCUUUAUCCCUAGGGAAACUAACACAUCUUUCAAGGCAUCACAAGAUAAAGAUGCUGACUCAGUCUCUUAAAUCAUCUCUGUAGUCUCCAGCACAGCCCUUAAUGAGACAGAGUUCUCUGUACAAGAAGUUGUUUCAUUAUGUGAGUGAAAAAUAACUUUUCCUCCUCCAAAAGUGCCCUUAGUGAAAUAAUUAAAGUCUGAAACCAAACCGUCAUAUACUUAUCCCAAAACAGAGGAGGGCAAACAACACAGCUUCAAAAUGACAAAAUGGCUACUUGGUUGAAAAUCAUACUUUGAAAAUCUCACCUCAAAUGAGAGGUCAACAGUGGUCAACCUAUGAAAGUAAAGUACUUGCCAACUGAGAAAAAAGAAAAAAAAAGAAGAAAAUCAAGCAGAUCUUCAGAAAGCAGGGAAGAAAACAAAGUGGGAAGAUUUCUAAUACAGUUCAUGAUUGUGCCUUACUUAUGUAGGUGUAGGUUUGUCUAAAUAAUAACCUUUUGCAUUUGUGGCUAAUAAAACAUAAGCAUUUUUAUAUCAGUUACCUGAUUUGGUCCUCACGAUAACCUUAAGAAUAGGCAGAAAACAAAUUACCUCCCCCAAUUUACAGACGUGUGAUCUGUAAUUUAGGAUUAUUAAAUAACCUGUCCAAGGUUCAAUGAGGUUGGUCAGUGGCACAUGACUGAAUGAGCCCUGCCCUACUGCCUUUUUAAAUUAACUGAUAGAAAAUUAUCUACAUAGAAAUUCUUAGCACAUUAUAGUGACUCAGCUGUAUCACAGGAACAAAGGAAAGUUAAGAAUUAUUGGCACAUGUAUUUGAUCUAAAAUAUUAAAUUCAAGUGGUUAAUUUCAGCCUGCUCCACCCAAAUCUUUCAAAGAUGCUUACAUUCACACAGUGACCACAAAUAUUUAAGUGCCUCUUUUGUUUUACGGUGACACAGGUGAAUUGAAGUUUCACUGAUUUUCCAUUUGCCUGCUGGCAGAACAAUCCAAUGGAAAACAACAGGAGGGAAAGGGAAGAAAAUAAAAAAGAACUGUAGGUUCUGAAAACUCAAAAAUAAAACUUUGAUAUUAUUGAUUGACCAUGAAAACCUUGAGGAUUAGUUAUUGAUCUACAAGCUGACUGCAAAGUAACCUCCUAACUUGUCUCUGCCUCCUCUCUCUCUCUCCUGCUUUCCUCCAGCCUAUGUGCUGCUGCCAGAUUAUUCCAAUGGUCCUUACCUUGUGCAAAACUUCCAUAAACUGGCUAAGAAAACAUAAACUCUUCACCCUGAUAUUCAAAACCUCUACAAAAAUGACAAUGCCUACUAUUUAACAACUAUUAGAGAAUAGACACCAAAAAAAAAAUCCUGGGACAUAUAUAGUUAGGCAAAUUUACCAGUGAGAAAACUGAGGCUGAGGGAGAUUAAAUAACUUGCCCUAGGAUGGAUAUUUAUCCAGUGGCUGUACCAAUGUCCAAAUUCAGGCCUGCCUAAUACCAAAGUCCAGCCUGUCUGUCUAAAUUUGUUUCGGACCUCUAGGACAUAGGGAGCCUAAAUUACCAUGAGUCUUUGGUGCUAGUUUGCAAACACCUGGCCCAUGUACAGUUCCAUGCUGUUGCCUCGAAUUUUUCUACCUGCAAUGUUCUCCUCAGUCCUACUACCUAUGGAAAUGUUCAUUCUUCAGGAUGCGUCUCAAGUAUCACUUCCUCCUUGAAAUCUUUGCUGAAAUUUAUCACCAGAGACCUUCCAGAAGUGAAAAAAACCUCCCUCUUUCUGAAUCCUUUUAGAUCUUUGUAUAAUUCGUAUGGUACUUACCUUCUUUUAUUGUGGUUCUUUUUCUGUCCUCAUGAAAAGUUUGCAAGCUUCAUGAAAACAGGAACUGGGAUUUAUCCGUUAGUACUAAUCUUAAAGUCCUAGCAGGAAUUCAGCACUUCAAGACAGACUUAAAAUGUUGGGGGUUGGGGGAGAAACCCGCUUAGUAGCAGCCCAACCAAUGAGAAGCCUCCAUACUUUGGACUUCCAGCUUCCUCCAAUGAACUCCUUUGUUAUUACAGUCCCGGUCAACAUCCGGCCCCUUUUCCCUAUAAAAGCAAUUUUCUCGCGGAUUCUUCCAUUUGCCUGUGGUCAACUAGGCUUCGUGUGGGUGAUUUUAUCGUUUCUGGCUAUUCCUGAAUAAACUAUUUUGCUGGUUGAAAAAAGAGAAAGAAAGAAAUACCACCUGGAAUUUGGCAUAUGGAAAACACAAUGUCUCUAUCUGCAUCAAACCCGGCCUCAAGCCUUGCCGACUUCCAGCAUGCUCACUCUGUGCGGACCGCGACCCUGUUGGAAGCCCCGGGGUUGGGGCAACAGGAACUCCUCUGCGCUGCGCAGGCUGCGAGGUCGCUUGGAGGGCUGUGGGCGCCCAGCCGGCCUGGAGUGGCCUAAUUAGGUGUGGAUACCGCCACUGCCUGGGGCUGAAGCCGCCAGCCUUCAUCAAGGCCCUCAGCCAUUUUUUUCAAGAGUGCAUCCAGAAAAAGGCAUGUGGACACCUCCUGCAGAGGAUCUGGACCCAUUCCUGCAGGAGAAGCUGAGCCUGGAGCCGCUCAGCCUGAACCUGUAUCAGGUCCCCGGAUCCUUAACCCAGGUUCCCUGAGGCAAAUGGCUCAGUGAAGGGCACCACCAGCCACCCAUGAGCCAGCAAAUCCCUGGAUAUCAUUCAUGACUCCACCCUUUACCUCACCCUGCAUCCAACUACAAAUUCUUCUCUGUAGGUUGGGUAGGAAUAGCCCCAUUCCUGCCUCCAAGGUUGAGAAUGUUGAAAAUUGGUUGGAUACCUGUCCUGGACCAAAAGCAAGGUAGGUGAAGAGCUAAAGUCGAAUUCCUACCCAUCCUCCUAACUCCAAAGUCCUCUGGGCAUACCUAGCUUUGAAAACCACUGUGUUCAGAAGCCUUUUCCUCCUGAAGUCUGGCAUAAAACAGCUGCUUGGCUUCAGUUUUCUCAUCUAUCCUUGCCACCAAGUUUCUUUUUUCAUUCAUGGCCAGGAAUCAGCAAAAUUAUAGAUCUGUGCAAAGCUCUUUAUCUACAGAUUAUGUCCCAAAACAAGGAACACAUAAGCAUACUUUUAGGCAAGCAAGUUUUCCUUUCACCUUCCCAGGCAUGGCAGGGAAUUAAGGGGGGAUUCCUAGUUAGAAGGCACACUCCAUAGUUGCACCAAUCUCUUACCCCUCUGGAGCUAAGAGAGACAUUACUUCCCAGGCUGGUCCACUGAAUGAAGCCGUUUUGUCAAUGGUCAUAAAAUUACAAGGAUGAGAUCCCUGAGGCUGCCUAUGGAGAAGACUGAAAGCUACCCUUUUUUUUUGAGGCUCAGUGGGUGUAGUCAUGUCCAGCAUAGUCUGGACAGCACAGAUAUUAUUCUGCCGUACCAUUUGAAGUUGGCAUUCACAUUUACACAUUAUAAUAGAAUUGAUGACCAUUUUAGGCCUUGGAGUUUUACUCAUUUAAUAGUUUAACCAGAGCAUCAUUCAAAUGGUGCUUUGAGCCAAGACAAGCCAGACCAAAUGAGGAUUUUCCUGUGCUUUCCUUCCAGCCAUUGGUUCCUUCUAGGCUUAUGGUUCUGAUUCAAUUACCACUACACUCCAUUUGCUCUCACUGCCCUCUUUCUGUCUCUUAGCUCCCAUUCUUUCCUCCACACACUUCAACUUGAAUACAGUAGUCUUUCCUUCUCUGAAGGUGGUAAGAGUUACAGUGGAAGCCUAAAACUGCUGAUAGUAUUGAACCCUAUGUAUACUAUGUCUUUUCCUAGACAUAGACACCUUUGAUAAGGUUUAAUGUAUAAAGUAGACACAGUAAGAGGUUGACAACAACAAUAAUAAAAUGGAACAGUUAUAACAACAUCCUGUAAUAAAAGUUAUGCGAAUGUGGUCUCUCUCUCUCAAAAUAUACAAACUGAAUGCAUUUACUAUCUUAACCAAACACUUACCAUGCAUUGUUGAAAACUUUUGCAGUUUGAGGUGAAACAGCAAAACUAGCACAAAUGUCUUUCUUCCUUCUUUGCAAUUUUCAUGGACAGAAGAUUCCUUCUUACCAUAAAUCUUAGCAUUAGCAACCUCAGCAUACAAUUUUUUUCUUUCCUUGUUUAGUUGAGAACAUUCACAUUUUCACUUUUAAAAAGCACUUUGCAGCUGCUCUUUGGAAGACCCAAAUUGCCAGCAUCACUACUCUUCUGCUUUGAGGCCAUUAUUAAGUAAAAUAAGGGUGAUGAAAGCAAGCGCUGAUACUAUGGCAGUUGAUAUGAUAACUCAGGCAGCUACUAUAUGACUAACAGGGUACACGGGACAAAGGGAUGAUUCAUGUCCCAGGGACAGAGUGGGAUGGGGUGAGAUUUCAUCAUGCUCCUCAAAAUGGUGUGCAAUUUAAAACUUAAAAAUUGUUUAUUUUUGGAAUAUUUAAUAUUUUCAGACCUUGCUUAACUGCGGGAAACUGAAACUAUGAAAAUUGAAGCUAUGGCUAAGGAAGGACUACUGUGGUAGACUUUUCGGCUUCUGUGAAAAGAGCAAGGUUUAAGGACUACAGUAAGAUUAAGCAUGUAGCACCAAAUAGGAUACCGUCGCCUCUGGAGACCACAAUCGCAUAAAGCGUACUUGUCCCUCAAGGUGAUUAUAUCAUUAUCUGGGGCGUGAAAAGCCCACUGGCAGACCUACAGGCUGGAAUCCAGUGAAGCUGGGUGUUCAGCAUAUCUUCUGUUUUUUGGUUUUUUUUUUUUAAACUGUAAGAUUCCCAAAGCACUCCACUAUACUCCAGUCAGCUGACUAAAGCAACAUUUUCUUUACUGCCCUUACUAGAAUUUUUAAGAAUGACCUAAAAGAUCUUAGACAUGAUUUUCUAUGUUUUGUAGCUACUAAGACAUUCAGUAUUAUGAGAUACUUUUUCUGUUUUCCCUGGUUUUUUAGGUGAAUUGUUCCUAAAUAAUUCCUUCACCAAGGUUCUAUCUUUGUUCAGACAAGGCUUCCCUCUGUCCCAGCCUACGUAGAACAUCUGUAUGCAACCUGAAUGUUCUUGGUGCUGACAGCCCCGCUUCUCCCCAAACUGUCACCAUCUGGCCAUCAGCUGUGCACUUCUGAAAACCCACGCAUGCGAAUGCCAAUCUUCUCCCUGGAAGGCUGUGAGCUUAGCAUUUCUCCAGGAUUCUAGCCGGGUGACUUAAAUGAGUCUAAAGUUGUUUUUCCCCCUAGUACUCUCUUAGCCUUUAACAUAAUAGCUCACAUUCACCGAUAAAAACAAUAAAAUGUCCCUUUAAUUAAAGGAACUAUUUUCAGUUUGUCUCACCACCAGUCUGAAGGUGAAAUACAUAUUGUCCAUGUGAUUUGCUGUGUCACAUCAUGGAAAUAUAAAGAAAUUCUCCUAAUAAUUAUGAAAUACAUACUUGGAAAGAAGUUCAACUGUUUCUUUAAAAAUAAAAAUCUAACAAUAUGUUGAAACAGACAUGGUAUUUUUCUCACUUAUUUCAAAAAAAUAUGCCUACUAAAAAAACACAACUCCCUUUGCAGCUUUAUAAAAUUACUUUUUAAACUGUACACAGAAGAGUUCCCAUUGUGGCUCAGUGGGUUAUGGACCCAACAUUGUCUCUGUGAGGAUGUGGGUUGGAUCCCUGGCCUCCCUCAGUGG
Non-coding RNA from Sus scrofa (pig), 7577 nucleotides. NCBI's taxonomy places the organism in Eukaryota, Metazoa, Chordata, Mammalia, Artiodactyla, Suidae. The record is from RefSeq and is a predicted model, not a curated record.